This 361-nucleotide long non-coding RNA is filed under the name Gallus gallus (chicken). The record is from RNAcentral. Lineage: Eukaryota; Metazoa; Chordata; Aves; Galliformes; Phasianidae.
UGCGGCUCGUAGGUGUUGACGACAUCUUUCAGGAAGGAGGUGGUGAAGUAGUGGUUGGCGAUGUUGCCGGCGUUGAAAAGCAGCCGCCCAUCUGGGCCCCGCUUCUGCGCCGUGUCCAGGGAGAUCUCGCUGUACUCCACCACCUGGUAGACACCGUCCACGCGGCACACCACGCCGACUGGCUCCGUGGGGUUGGUCUUCUCCACCACCUUGGCCCCGCAGUCCGCUCCCUUCUCCAGGCAGAACCCGAUGAACCUGGGGUCAGCCACCUUCACCAGGAUGUUGUCCACACAGUAGACGUGGACGCUCUGCACGCCCCUCCGCUCCAUGUCAUCCACGAUGCCGUGCACCCCCAGUGCCC